UCCGGGUUGAUCCUGCCGGACCUGACUGCUAUCGGAUUGAUACUAAGCCAUGCGAGUCAUUGUAGUAAUACAAGGCAGACGGCUCAGUAACGCGUAGUCAACCUACCCUAUGGACGGGGAUAACCUCGGGAAACUGAGAAUAAUACCCGAUAGAACAUUAUGCCUGGAAUGGUUUAUGUUUCAAAUAAUUUAUUGCCGUAGGAUGGGACUGCGGCCUAUCAGUUUGUUGGUGAGGUAAUGGCCCACCAAGACUAUUACAGGUACGGGCUCUGAGAGGAGUAGCCCGGAGAUGGGUACUGAGACACGGACCCAGGCCCUAUGGGGCGCAGCAGGCGAGAAAACUUUGCAAUGUGCGAAAGCACGACAAGGUUAAUCCGAGUGGUUUCUGCUAAAGGAACCUUUUGUCAGUCCUAGAAACACUGAUGAAUAAGGGGUGGGCAAGUUCUGGUGUCAGCCGCCGCGGUAAAACCAGCACCUCAAGUGGUCAGGAUGAUUAUUGGGCCUAAAGCAUCCGUAGCCUGCUUUGUAAGUUUUCGGUCAAAUCCAUACGCUCAACGUAUGGGCUGCCGGGAAUACUGCAAAGCUAGGGAGUGGGAGAGGUAGACGGUACUCGGUAGGAAGGGGUAAAAUCCUUUGAUCUAUUGAUGACCACCUGUGGCGAAGGCGGUCUACCAGAACACGUCCGACGGUGAGGGAUGAAAGCUGGGGGAGCAAACCGGAUUAGAUACCCGGGUAGUCCCAGCUGUAAACUAUGCAAACUCAGUGAUGCAUUGGCUUGAUGCCAAUGCAGUGCUGCAGGGAAGCCGUUAAGUUUGCCGCCUGGGAAGUACGGCCGCAAGGCUGAAACUUAAAGGAAUUGGCGGGGGAGCACCACAAGGCGUGAAGCUUGCGGUUCAAUUGGAUUCAACGCCGGA
RNAcentral lists this ribosomal RNA (914 nucleotides) under uncultured archaeon. RNAcentral's name for it is "bacterial SSU rRNA". It matches the Rfam family "Archaeal small subunit ribosomal RNA", at positions 1 to 922 of the family's 1478-position model. The record is from RNAcentral.